UACGGGGGGGGGCAAGCGUUGUUCGGAAUUACUGGGCGUAAAGGGCUCGUAGGUGGCCAACUAAGUCGGACGUGAAAUCCCUCAGCUUAACUGGGGAACUGCGUCCGAUACUGGAUGGCUUGAGUUUGGGAGAGGGAUGCGGAAUUCCAGGUGUAGCGGUGAAAUGCGUAGAUAUCUGGAGGAACACCGGUGGCGAAGGCGGCAUCCUGGACCAACACUGACACUGAGGAGCGAAAGCCAGGGGAGCAAACGGG
This 254-nucleotide ribosomal RNA is filed under the name uncultured bacterium. Its description in RNAcentral is "partial 16S ribosomal RNA". It matches the Rfam family "Bacterial small subunit ribosomal RNA", at positions 524 to 776 of the family's 1533-position model. The record is from RNAcentral.